UACGAAGGGUGCAAGCGUUACUCGGAAUUACUGGGCGUAAAGCGUGCGUAGGUGGUGAGUUAAGUCUGUCGUGAAAGCCCCGGGCUCAACCUGGGAAUUGCGCGCGAAACGGGCGGGCUUGAGUUCGGGAGAGGAGCGUGGAAUUCCCAGUGUAGAGGUGAAAUUCGUAGAUAUUGGGAAGAACACCGGUGGCGAAGGCGGCGCUCUGGACCGAGACUGACGCUGAGGCGCGAAAGCGUGGGGAGCAAACAGG
RNAcentral lists this ribosomal RNA (253 nucleotides) under uncultured bacterium. Its description in RNAcentral is "partial 16S ribosomal RNA". It matches the Rfam family "Bacterial small subunit ribosomal RNA", at positions 524 to 776 of the family's 1533-position model. The record is from RNAcentral.